This is a non-coding RNA of Cinara cedri, 219 nucleotides long. NCBI's taxonomy places the organism in Eukaryota, Metazoa, Arthropoda, Insecta, Hemiptera, Aphididae. The record is from the annotation of a GenBank genome assembly.
CAGUCUUGGGUUAAAUGUCGAAUGGUUGUUUUAUAUAGAAAAUUGCAAAAACUUGACAAACAUUUUCGCGCUGUGAUUGACACGGUCAGUGUUCAUACAUACUUAUGAUUUAUGACCUACCGGGUCGGUACUACCCUAUCCCAGGGUCUAUCUAUAUCUAUAUCAGUAAAUCGUGUAUACUCGUAAAUAUACCACGUUGUUUGUCGACUGAGAUUUACG